Molecule: long non-coding RNA, 357 nt
Organism: Symphalangus syndactylus (siamang)
Lineage: Eukaryota; Metazoa; Chordata; Mammalia; Primates; Hylobatidae
Source: RefSeq, a predicted model, not a curated record
AGGAUGUGCAGAAAGAGAGGUACACAUCACCCACUCCAAGCCCUGGGGUCUAGAGGGAAGAGUCUUCAACCUCCAUGAGACACAGCCUCCCCCGAUGAAGAAGUAGGACUUCAAGGCUGGCGGAGGCUGCUGUCACAGCACCCACGAUGCCGCCUAUGAUGCCAGGAAUGCCAUGCAGAUUGUUAAUGCCACAUGUGUCCUGGAUGUGCAGCCGGGACUCCAGGAAUGGCUGGAGAGGGGAGCCUCAUCUGCAAGAUGGGUGUGGUGAUCCCCUUAGAGCUGUUGGCAGGGCAUGGUGAUCAGCACCCUCCAGGCCCAGGCAGUCAGAGCCACACCCCCAAUGCCCUCAUGCUCACC